AUUGAACGCUGGCGGCAGGCUUUACACAUGCAAGUCGAACGAGUGGCGGACGGGUGAGUAAUAUCUGGGAAACUGCCCGGUGGCGGGGGAUAACUACUGGAAACAGUAGCUAAUACCGCAUACACUCGGAUGUGCCCAUAUCGGAUUAGCUAGUAGGUGGGGUAAAGGAUCACCUAGUCGACGAUCCCUAGCUGGUUUGAGAGGAUGACCAGCCACACUGUGAAUGAGCAACGGCCCAGACUCCUACGGGAGGCAGCAGGGGGGAAUAUUGCACAGUGGGCGCAAGCCUGAUGCAGCCAUGCCGCGUGUAUGAAGAAGGCCUUAGGGUUGUAAAGUACUUUCAGCGGGGAGGCGUUACCCACAGAAGAAGCACCGGCUAACUCCGUGCCAGCAGCCGCGGUAAUUC
RNAcentral lists this ribosomal RNA (406 nucleotides) under uncultured bacterium. Its description in RNAcentral is "partial 16S ribosomal RNA". It matches the Rfam family "Bacterial small subunit ribosomal RNA", at positions 30 to 526 of the family's 1533-position model. The record is from RNAcentral.